UGACAGUCUUUAUGUCCACACACAAUGUUACUAUUACAUAUACCAUAGUGACGACGUAAACAAAGUUUACAGAGGUUGAGCUUCCUCACUAAAUUCCAUCUCUCAUUUCUGUCUGCGGCUAAGAACUUUUUACACUUUUCAAUACUGUUGCACUGUUCAUAGCAGACUACACAAUUUUUUAUGUUCUGUACUUCGUGUGUAUUAACAUGUACAUUUCUUAUUUUGUUUGAGUGAAGCUCUGCUGACGUCGUUGUACUGCUGUUACUCUCAAUAUUAACGCUGCUUGCUGAAAUACCAACAUCAUAAAUCCAAUUUGCAAAUUCUGUUAAAUUUACUUUCUUAUUAUUUUUUAUCAAUUCUGUUUUGUGUGAACCCCAGUUCAAUUGAAAAUAAGAUGGCAUUUUGAUAAUUAAUUCCUGCAAUAGGGAAGAGUUAUUAAGUUCAUCUAAUAAACCACAAGCUUUAAUUGUAGUUUCCAAACCCUUUACUUCAACGGCGAAAGAUUGAACUUAAUAUUUUUUCUGGUUGGCCGUAAAGCAGUUUUAAAGUGGACAUAGCAGCUGGUACACAAGUGGGGUGGAUUAAAAUGUGCUGGACUGAUCGCAUAGCUUCUCCACGUAAUGCUCUUUGUAGGCGGACCAAGUUUUCUGCAUCAGUUAAGCCACAAAUAUUGGUGGACCAGUCGUAUGUUGAACUAAAAAGUGGCCAUUCUUCAGGCAUACCUGUAAACGUCGGUAGAUCUUUUGGCACAGUUUGUCGUGCGUUUAUUUGUUGGUGCGUGAGGUUAUUUUGAACAUUGCAUACAUUUGGUCUUAAUGUAGACGAGGGAUGCAUAUAAAACGUAGGUUCAUUAUAACGAAAAUCAAGCGGCGGAGCUGGUUGUGUUUGUGGAUUUGUUGUAGUGUACCGUGAUGUGUCCAUGCUUGGUCGAAAGGUAUACGAUGGCAGCAUGGGAAACACUGGGCCAGUAUAUGGAAUAUUUGGCGGUUGUGGUACUUGAGUUUGUGUGUUAAUUUCUGCAUUUGCAUUAUUGUUUAUAAUGUCACUUUCGACUUGUUUUGUUGAAUAUAAAUUAUUUUGUGAUGGAUUAUUAAUAAACGUUGAUAUAAUUGAU
This is a long non-coding RNA of Calliphora vicina (urban bluebottle blowfly), 1114 nucleotides long. RefSeq lists it as uncharacterized. NCBI's taxonomy places the organism in Eukaryota, Metazoa, Arthropoda, Insecta, Diptera, Calliphoridae. The transcript is spliced from 2 exons. The record is from RefSeq and is a predicted model, not a curated record.